Lagopus muta (rock ptarmigan) is the source of this 5179-nucleotide long non-coding RNA. RefSeq lists it as uncharacterized. The transcript has 2 exons. Lineage: Eukaryota; Metazoa; Chordata; Aves; Galliformes; Phasianidae. The record is from RefSeq and is a predicted model, not a curated record.
GGUCCUCGUCAGCAGGGCAGCACUGGGAACAGCGGGGAUGGGACCCCCGUGCGUCCCCUGUGAGCUUUCAGCCUCCUGCAGCACCUUGCCUCCCAGCACCGGUGUGUGGGAUGGGACAGAGAGCCCAGGGACCCCCGUGUGAAGCCCUGGUGCUGCCGGGCGCUGCGGCAGGGGCUCAGGGGCACGUCAGGGCUGGCACCGAUGGAGCAGGAAAGUGCAAGGCUGUGAGACGAGUCCUUGGCAGGGGAUGGCGGCCGGGCUGCCGAGCGGGGACGCCUUGGCAAGCGGCACAAAGCCGCCUCUGUGAGCGCCCAGCCCUCCCCGCCCCGCUGGGAAACAGCACAGGGCUGCUUUCUGGGGCAGGCUGGCAGUCGGGCCACGGCCCCACUGCCCCCCGCUGUCCCCUGCCACCUUCUGCGUCCCUGCCACCCUGUGAUGGGAGUCCUCCCCACCCACGGGUUCACAUGCCAGAUCCCCAUCAUGGGGAUAGACAGACAGUCACCUGCCUUCAGGGUGGGAUGCAGGAUGAUCCCCAGCCCCAGGAGGAUGCAGCCUCCCCAUCACCCCACUGCUGUAGGUCCCCAUGAGGAUUGGGGGCUGCACCCAUCCUUUAGCUCUUGGCCCAGCACUUGGGGUUGAGCAGCAGUCCUGGGUACCGCCUGGCUCUGUGUGUGGUUCUGCUCAGUACUGAGACCCCAGGUUGGGGGGCACAGGGGACAGCAGCCCCCAGGCACACCUGGGAAGGGCUGCAGCACCCCUAACCCUGUGAGUCACAUCACCGCUCUGUCCCAAUCACCUGGGGACCAAGGGUCACUCCAGGCCACACACAGCCCAGCAGCAUCCAGUAGCACCAGGGGGUGACGGGGCUGAGCCACAGGUGGGAUGCGGCACCGAGCCACCCCUCUGCAUGGCACUUGUCCAGGUGGGGAAACUGAGGCACAGCAGGGCCCCAGGACAGCAAGGCUGAGCUGCGUGGUGGAAGAGAUGGAACCGCAGGCGGCUGCUGGGUGAUGAUUUAUCCCCUCCACUGGGCCUCAGCUUGGGCUGCAUCCAGGCACGGACGGGGCUGCCAGCACGUCCCAGCGCUGCCGUUAGCUCCGCGCCUUCCCACCGCUGCCGGCACAUCCCUCGCCCGGCCCCCCAUAUCCAUCUACAGUGCCAGUGCCAAGCUGUGAGGUGCCCGUGCCCCCCGCUGCAGCCCCCUCCUCCUCCUCCUGGUUAUGGCUACGUCCGGGGGCCGCCAGCCUCCCCCAGCACACCCGGCCCCAUUUGUCAUGCUGUGAGCGUCGCCCCCGGCUUCCUCCCGCCGGCAGCGCUGGCACAGCCCUGCAGCACUCACUGCCACCUCUGCGCCUGCCGGCCUUUGGUCUCUGCUGGUGGCACUGGGGAAGGGGCGAGGGACCGGUGACGCAUGGGUCGUGCCCCCCGCAGACACUGUUUGCUUUGUGAUAAGGUUCUGUAGAACAGCAAAUAGAUGGUGUGGCAGCGGCCCUCAGCCUGGGGCCUCGCAGAGCUGCCCAUAGCGGGGCACCAACACCACCCAGGGACAGGGGGCUGCAAGGAAGCAGUGCCCACAGGGAUGCCUUUCACUGUGCCAUCAGGUCCCGUGGGCUCAGCCAUCACUUGUCACCACACCGAGUUCAAUGACACCACGUCCGCCCCUGUCUCAGUGCCACUUCAUGCGCCGGGGCCAAAGCUCGGGGACACCCUGAGCCCCAAAGCUCUGCAGUGCCCAGACCCCAACCCGCUAAUCCACUGCACCAGGGUGGGGGAUGCAGCACUCCAGUGGUGUAAUCCGGAUUUAGCGCCAAGCAGCAGCAGCUGCUGCCCCACAGUGCUGGCAGCCCAGCACUGGGAUGAAGGCUGCACACCCCCCCCGUGCCCAUGGGUUCCUGUGCUGCUCGGGUGUCAGCACGGUGCUCUCAUGUUCCCAGCUCAGUGUGACGGCAGCAGCACCUCAGAGGCACAGCAGCACAAUGAUGGCAUGGCUGCUGGCAUGGCCUGGGGUCCCUGUGCCAGCCUCACGCCACCGCCGGCCACCCUCCCCCAGCCCAGCACAACACAGACCUGUGUUUUUCUCCUGACCUGGCUUCCUAAAUUUAGCAGCCUGCCCUGCUCUUAGCUACGUGCCGCGCUCCCACCUCCCAACACAGCACGGCCUCACCCAGCCCUGUGGGCUGCAUCAGGAUGGGCGCAGCGAGCACAGCCACCCCUCAUUCUCCUGGGGUGAGGAGAAUGCUCCUCUAUGGGCACCAUAUGGAGACCCUCGGGAAAUAGGAGACCAUCAUGAGGUAGCUCCCCCCCCACACAGUCUAGUGGUGGACAUGCUGGGGUUUGGGAUGCGAUGGGGACAGAGGGGACAUCCAGCAGCACCAUGGAAUCCAGCUCAGGCACUCAGCCGAAGGGCGGGGGGGACAGCACACCAUGCUAGUGGCCAGCAGCACGUCAGCCAAGGUACACCUUCCACAGCCCCAGGCCUGGCCGUGACCCCACUGUCAUCACUGUGGCCCCAUGGCCAUGCAGGACAGGGAGAGGAUCCCCAGGACAGAAUGUUCUCUGAAUGUCCCAACACCAUGGCCAUGGGCAGCCCCAUCACGCUGGCAGCCAUGGUCCCCUCUGAGCCAGCCAAGCCCCUUUGCCACACAUACUCCCUCCAAAGCAGCGGUGCUCGCCUCGUUACUGGGAUGAGCACAGCACUUUUGCAGUGGUGGACAUGCCGGGGUUGGAGAUGUGAUGGGGACAGUGGUGGCACCACGAGCAGAGGGUGGCACAGUUGGCAUGUCCUCCCCUGAAGGGCUAUGGGGAAACUGAGGCACAGAACAAAGGUGCCAAGCACGUGGCAGAGAUUAAACACGCAGACUGCCCGAAACCACAAUUUGAGCUUUUCCAUCACACCUAGGAAGGAUGACACCUCUCAGUGUCCUAACGCACACCUUCAUGGGGUACCACCAAGCGUCCAGCACCCAAAAACACGCACCACCAUCCACCAGGGUCACAGCUGUCCCCAGCCCUGCGUCAGCAACCCAGCGGUGCUGCGGAUGCGGGGGUGGCCGGGACCCCGUGGCGAGAAAACAGAGGGCAGGGGCCUCUGUUUUCUCAGUCCGAGGAGCCCGUGGGAUCCCAGUCCUCCCCCCGGUCCCCCUGCGCCAAGGAAAACAGCCUCGGCCGGGGCCCGUUUGUUUGCCGUGGCCGCGGCCCCAGUGCGAAUGCAGCUGCAGCGCAGCCGGGCGCUGCGGGACCUUUGCACCUGAGCCGGGCUCCCCGCGGCGGCAGCACCCCGAUGCCACCCCCGAGCAUCCACACCGCUCCCCAUCCGCCGCUGGGGGGGCGCGGCGGGCAGCUGGGCACCGUCUCUGCAUCGACAGCCCGUGCGCCGUCAGAUGCGACCGCCGAGCUCGGGCACCAUCCGGUUGCCUAUGGAAAAUUCCCGUCUCCUCCUCCGCGUGGGCACGGCAGUCCCGCAGCCCCGGGGCCGCCCCGUGUGCCCGCAGAUGGGAGCCCGACGGCGGUGCCUCUCUUUCCCCAGGAGCUCUCCUGCCAUCCCGCAGACACACGGAGCGCUGCAGACGUCACGGCCGCGCUGUGCUCUGCCCUAAAAAUACCCGCACGGCACACACGGCCCCACCGCGUGGGAGCCCCUGACACCCGAUGCGGCCGCCGCACUUUCCAGCACUUACACACACACACACACACAUCGCUGGCACGGCUGAUUAAAAAUUAAAGUGGAAAAUAAAAGAAAAGAAAAAAAAAGAAAGGAAAAAAAUGGGGAGGGGAGUGCGAGGGGUUGCAGCAGAGCAAAGAGGGCUGAGAAAUGCGAGGGGCGGCGGGGCUCCCCCAAGGGCUGCAGCUCUGCCUCUUUACGAGCAUUCGCAGGAUUUUUUUAUACGUUGUGGGAGGGUUUCAGCAGCUGGAGAGGGAAGAGGAAGGCAAAGCAAAGCAAACAGCCCCUGCGCUGCUCCGGCUGUGCCACCUGCGAGCGACUGCGCUGUGGGGCAGCGUGCCGUGGGGCAGCGCGCCGGGGGGAGGCGGCCAGCGGCUCCUUCCUUCUGCAGCAUUCCCGGCUCGGGGCUCCGGAGGAACUUUUGGAGUUAGGGGAGGAGGAGAUGAACUCGAGCCAUGCCCAGCCGGGCUCUGCAGGAAAUCAGAGCAGUGAGAAGGGAGAAAAGUCGCCGAGCCUUGGGACUGGAGCACAUAGAACCGUAAUCAUAGAAUCAUGGAAUCAUAGGAUCACAGCAUGGUUGGGCUGGGAAGAACCUUACAGCCCCCAGGCCCAUCCCUGCCAUGGUCUGGCUGUCCCCCAGCUCAGGCUGCCCAGAACCCCUCCAUGGCCUGGGGCACCUCCAGGGAUGGCACCCACAGCUCUUGGCAUCAGUGCCAGCGCUUCACCACACUCUGAAAGAAUUUACUUCUAACAUCUCACCUAGAUCUCCACCUUUCAGUACAAAGCCAUUCCUCCUUGUUCUAUCCAACUAUGCCCUUGUAAAUAUUCCCUUUCCGUAGAGGACAAGGGCUUUCCUUUAGCCCUUUUAGGCACUGGAAGAGCUGCUGUAAGGUCUCUGCAGAGCCUCCCCUGGGCUGAGAAUCACCGAACAGACUCAGAAGCACAGAACCACCCCAUUACCUGCACUCUGCCCCUUCUAUCUGCCCUCACCAGUGCUGCCCUAUGCCCAACUCCCAGGCGGCCUCAGCCUCGUGCUCUGUGUCACUGCGCACAAGCCCACGCAUGGGAUCACUGGCCCUGAGAUCCAGCCCUGCCUGGUGCUGGAUGAGGGCGGCCAGGACAGGGGCCGGGGCAGCUGCAAGCAUCCUCAGCCAUGAAGGACGGGCACUGGGCGCCGGGGGCUGGAUGGGGUCAUGCUCUGCUUCCUGCCAUCCGACCUUCCUGCAGCUGAGAUGGUGGUGGUGGGAGCACACAGCUGAGGAAACAGCUUCACCUGCAGCCCCGUGGCUCCUCUGAAGCACAAAGCCUCGGACACCUCUCUUGCUGGGGACAAGGCAGCGGGUGCCUCCGGUCCCAGUGCCAGGUGUCACCGCCCGCCCUGCUGGUGGGACCGGCACAGCUCUCCUCCACCACCAUGCACACGCUGUCCUGCAGCCGGGCACAACAACAACAAGGAAUAAUUGGUUAAUGCGAUUUCAAAACAUGAUUUGCAAUUAUAACUCGCCAGAGAGCAUUCAA